GCACCGGUGGCUCAGUAGGUAACAGGGAUGGUUGGCAAGCAACAGACCGGGGUUCGACCCCCGCUGUGGCG
Non-coding RNA from Caenorhabditis elegans, 71 nucleotides. The record is from the annotation of a RefSeq genome assembly. NCBI's taxonomy places the organism in Eukaryota, Metazoa, Nematoda, Chromadorea, Rhabditida, Rhabditidae.